GCUGUCCCUAGAAGCAUUGCAGGUGUGGCUGCUGUGUCACAUGGGCCUCAGUAGGUGGCAGAGAGGAGAGAGGCUUUGCCUGUGCUCCAACGUGUGUUCUAACCUGUGAACAUUGAAUGAUUAGUAGUCUAACAUU
Molecule: small nucleolar RNA, 136 nt
Organism: Apodemus sylvaticus (European woodmouse)
Lineage: Eukaryota; Metazoa; Chordata; Mammalia; Rodentia; Muridae
Product: small nucleolar RNA SNORA17
Exons: 1
Source: RefSeq, a predicted model, not a curated record